This 1005-nucleotide long non-coding RNA is filed under the name Bemisia tabaci. Its description in RNAcentral is "lncRNA ENSASIAIIG004418". Lineage: Eukaryota; Metazoa; Arthropoda; Insecta; Hemiptera; Aleyrodidae. The record is from RNAcentral.
AUGGUCUACCUCAUAGCCAAGGAAGUAUCAAUCGCUGCCAACUUCUUUUCACCAUUAGCUCAAAGAAAGCAGAGUAAAGAACACAUAAUGAAAUUCAUCGUAGCUUUCGCCGCCGCUUUGGCUUGCGCUAACAUGGCCGCCGGUCAUUUUCUGCACAAGGAGAAAUUCGGAUGCAAGGAACCGAUCAUAACCACUUGUGCUCAGCCUGCCCCUUGCGUCGUCGAGAAGCCUGUUCCAGUCCCUGUUCUGGUGAAAUCACCACCGAAAAUCAUCGAAAAACCUGUUAAAGUUCCCGUGGCCCACAAGGAAAAAUUCGGAUGCAAGGAGCCGAUCAUAUGUGCUCAGCCUGCCCCUUGCGUCGUCGAGAAGCCUGUUCUAGUCCCUGUGUUGGUGAAAUCACCACCAAAAAUCAUCGAGAAACCUGUCAAAGUCCCUGUGGCCGUACCAGUGCCCGUACCUUGUGAAAAACCCUGCGAAACACCCUGUUGCUCGACCCCAGUUGAGUCUUGUUGCUCAACUCCGGUUGAGUCCAGUUGCUCCUACUCCUACUCAACACCUGUGACUUACAGCUCUUCCUGCUCGUACUCAUCACCGGUGAUUUAUUAUUAAUAUUUCCAACUGAAAAAACCAUUACAUCACAAAGAAAAAUUGAAUCUGAAUAAAAAUAAACGUCUUUCUUCACACUGCAAAUAUCUUUGUUUUUGUUGUUCGGUUGCUCCUACUCCUACUCAACACCCGUAAUUUACAGCUCUCCCUGGUUGUACUCAUUGCUAGUCAACCUACAGCUCUUCGUGUACUUCUACACCGGUCGGGUCAGAGAAAUUUUCAGGUCAUUUUUCAGAAAAAUUGAAACUAAUAAAAAUAAAUGUCUUUACCAAAAGGAAAAUAUGUUGGUGAUCCUUUGACGCCUAUCGUACAUUGCUUACAAAAGGUGAAUAGAUGAAUAUGUCAGAUACUCAUCAUCGUCUGAUUUUAAAUCCUCAUUAAUGGCACGAUGAGAAGUCA